Molecule: non-coding RNA, 114 nt
Organism: Xylariales sp. AK1849
Lineage: Eukaryota; Fungi; Ascomycota; Sordariomycetes; Xylariales
Source: the annotation of a GenBank genome assembly
GGCAAGAUGGCCGAGUGGUUAAGGCGGAUGACUCAAGCCCCUGCUUGUCUUGUAAGCAAUUCAAGAUUUAUUCAUCUGGGGCAACCCACCGGGGUUCGACUCCCCGUCUUGUCA